GCCUUCGUAGCUCAGUGGAUAGAGCAUCCCCCUCCUAAGUGGAGGAUCGCACGUUCGAUUCGUGUCCAGGGCA
Molecule: transfer RNA, 73 nt
Filed under: Methylophilales bacterium HTCC2181
Lineage: Bacteria; Pseudomonadati; Pseudomonadota; Betaproteobacteria; Nitrosomonadales
Rfam family: tRNA
About the family: Transfer RNA (tRNA) molecules are approximately 80 nucleotides in length. Their secondary structure includes four short double-helical elements and three loops (D, anti-codon, and T loops).
Source: Rfam by way of RNAcentral